This 254-nucleotide ribosomal RNA is filed under the name uncultured bacterium. RNAcentral's name for it is "partial 16S ribosomal RNA". It matches the Rfam family "Bacterial small subunit ribosomal RNA", at positions 524 to 776 of the family's 1533-position model. The record is from RNAcentral.
UACGGGGGGGAGCAAGCGUUGUUCGGAUUUACUGGGCGUAAAGGGCGCGUAGGCGGCGUGACAAGUCACUUGUGAAAUCUCCGGGCUUAACUCGGAACGGUCAAGUGAUACUGUCGUGCUAGAGUACAGAAGGGGCAACUGGAAUUCUCGGUGUAGCGGUGGAAUGCGUAGAGAUCGGGAAGAACACCAGUGGCGAAGGCGGUCUGCUGGACCGUUGCUGACGCUGAGGCGCGACAGCGUGGGGAGCAAACAGG